Molecule: long non-coding RNA, 1427 nt
Organism: Setaria italica (foxtail millet)
Lineage: Eukaryota; Viridiplantae; Streptophyta; Magnoliopsida; Poales; Poaceae
Exons: 3
Source: RefSeq, a predicted model, not a curated record
UCACAUCAGGUUUGGGCUGAUCGGGGCGAAUGUGCCGGACCGUGGGCCGGCCUGGUUGGUUUGGCCGGAGGAGAGUGCAAAGCACUCGUUGCCCCACCCGUCAAACCGGGCAUCACCGGCCGCGGCGCCGGCCCGGAGAUGCUCGUUUCCCGACUCCCGAGGCACUAGCUGUCGCGCAAUGGGUACAGUGCAAGCUGCAGGGGGCAGAUGGGGACAAGUAAACACCUCACUCCACUCCAUCUCAGUUCUCAGCUGAUGGCAAAGAUGAACUGAGAGCUGAUGGCGAAGAUGAACUGAGAACUGUAGCUAGAUUGAGAGCUGGGGAAAGAGGUCGGGGAGGGGGGAUUUCGUUCCGAAGGCCUUGCUACGAGCUGAUCUUACCAUCACCAUUCAGCAGCACCGAGGCAUGUCAAUAACCGAGAGCUUCACGAUAUACCAUGGGGAUAAUUUGCUUACAAAUGGACCUGCGGGGGUGCAGCGGAAUCUGGCCGGCCGCGUCGUGUACAAGAAGCUGCUAGGGCCGCAGUACAUGUCGUUCCAGCAAGUGCGGCGCUGGAUAUUGGAGAUGUUCAACGUGGACGAGGCGAGCUUGUGCUGCGGCACAUCGUGCCUGUAAAGCCCAAGAACCAGGCGCGCGCUUACAACAUGGCGGUUGAUAUAGUAGGGCUUGAUUCCUGGAGGACAUUUCUUGAAGUGUCAUUGCGCCAAGGUGUCUCUUUGGUACUCUAUGUUCAGUGGCAGGCCAAGGCGGCGUCAGGUCCCGUUUGUGAAGGCGCUAUCGGCGAGAAGAAGAGCGCCACACCUGCUCUGGCUCCAGCUCCGGCCCCGGCAACUGCCCCUGCGCCCACUCCUGCUCCUGCUCCUGCCCCUGCGCCUGCUCCCGCUCCCGCUCCCGCCGCUAAAGAGCCCACCGUGGCCGGUGAACAAGGCGGAAGCUGGGACAGGGAGGACCCGGGCCGACGUCUCUACCGCUGCCCUCUGUUGGAGGAUCCUGGGGGAGUGUGGAUUCACGCAGUGGCGAGGCCUUCCCUGAGAAGGCGACCAUGCACAUCAACAACCUCCUGAGUAGGGAGGAGUGCCUCGAGCAGCAGGUCGAGAACCUCCAGGAGGAGCUCAACGAGCUCCGUCGCCGGUACGUGACCGGCAGCAGCCAUCGUGACGGGCAAGACAGCGAGACACGCCCACGCCAAGUCCGCAGAAUGAUCUAGGACAACUGAUGGUGUACCCUGCUUCUCCCAGUUUGCAUGAAGUCCUCAAAUGUUGCUAGUCAUGCUGUCCGUUUCUUGUUCGUUCAACCAUUUGUUCAGUCAUGUUGUUGCUAGAGCAUGUCGCUCUGAACAGUCUGAACCGUGUUCGAAUGUUAUGUCAUCUGUAAUGUAAAUUACUUGCAUCAACGCAUUUACCAUUUCAGAACAAUGUUGGACGUA